GCGAGGAUGGCGGAACUGGUAGACGCGCUGGAUUUAGGAUCCAGUGGGAAACCGUGCGGGUUCAAUUCCCGCUCUUCGCA
RNAcentral lists this transfer RNA (80 nucleotides) under Candidatus Rifleibacteriota bacterium. RNAcentral describes it as "tRNA-Leu". It matches the Rfam family "tRNA". From Rfam's summary of the family: Transfer RNA (tRNA) molecules are approximately 80 nucleotides in length. Their secondary structure includes four short double-helical elements and three loops (D, anti-codon, and T loops). The record is from RNAcentral. Lineage: Bacteria; Candidatus Rifleibacteriota.